AAUCAACGCUGGCGGCGUGCCUAACACAUGCAAGUCGAGCGGGAAAGGGGGCUUCGGUCCCUGAGUAUAGCGGCGGACGGGUGAGUAACACGUGGGUAAUUUGCCCUUGGGUGUGGAAUAACUCAGGGAAACUUGAGCUAAUACCGCAUGACAUCCCCUUCACACACGAGUUGGGGAUCAAAGCCGGGGACCCUUCGGGGCCUGGCGCCUGAGGAGAAGCCCGCGCCCGAUUAGCUAGUUGGGAGGUAAUGGCUCACCAAGGCUUCGAUCGGUAGCCGGCCUGAGAGGGCGGACGGCCACACUGGGACUGAGACACGGCCCAGACUCCUACGGGAGGCAGCAGUGGGGAAUAUUGGACAAUGGGCGCAAGCCUGAUCCAGCGAUGCCGCGUGUGUGAAG
RNAcentral lists this ribosomal RNA (399 nucleotides) under uncultured bacterium. RNAcentral describes it as "bacterial SSU rRNA". It matches the Rfam family "Bacterial small subunit ribosomal RNA", at positions 28 to 410 of the family's 1533-position model. The record is from RNAcentral.